GUGCUAGUUACAGUAGUACAUAACACCAAAAGUAGAACCAUACAGAGAUUAUUCACAGGGCACCUACAUAAGAAUGAUAUGAACACUCAUGAAAUGUUCCACAUUAUU
This 108-nucleotide small nuclear RNA is filed under the name Urocitellus parryii (Arctic ground squirrel). The record is from RNAcentral. Lineage: Eukaryota; Metazoa; Chordata; Mammalia; Rodentia; Sciuridae.